CAGUCGCCGCGGUAAUACGGAGGGUGCAAGCGUUAAUCGGAAUUACUGGGCGUAAAGCGCACGCAGGCGGUCUGUCAAGUCAGAUGUGAAAUCCCCGGGCUUAACCUGGGAACUGCAUUUGAAACUGGCAGGCUAGAGUCUUGUAGAGGGGGGUAGAAUUCCAGGUGUAGCGGUGAAAUGCGUAGAGAUCUGGAGGAAUACCGAUGGCGAAGGCAGCCAUCUGGCCUAAUACUGACGCUGAGGUACGAAAGCAUGGGGAGCAAACAGGAUUAGAUACCCGGGUAGUCCCUGUCUCUUAUAC
Molecule: ribosomal RNA, 301 nt
Filed under: uncultured bacterium
Lineage: Bacteria
Description: partial 16S ribosomal RNA
Rfam family: Bacterial small subunit ribosomal RNA
Source: RNAcentral